AGAGAACGAUCGUCAAACUCUCAACGGUACCCAUCGGGUAACCAUCAGUUGACCUGAUGCCUCCAAAGAACGCAUCUACCGUAUUUCUCACUACUGCUUCUGCUCUCUGCCUCUUUAGUGCUUGGAUGCCUUAUUGUAUUGAUUCCUACUUGAGAACAUCUUGAGAAUGACUUCUUUUUCUACCUAUUUUAUGACUACUACUAGACAACACUGGCUCAAGGCGAUCGAUGAACGAUGGUUGGUGGUUUCACUAGUUCUUCCAUAAAAUAUGCCAAUAAAAAGUGAGGUUAUUAUUGUACAUAAACUUGGACUUCUCCAAUUCUCUUUUCUUCAAGUUUCCCAUGGUUUACUGUACUUUACUUAUUAUUUAUAAAUGUGUGAUGUCAGUAGCCUACACUAACGAGUCCUCUUCUUAAAAAUGGUUUCUUGCUCAGUGAGAGGCUGCAAACGGGAUUCGAGACGAAUCCCUCGAAACAAAGGAUUGAAAUUUUAUUCUUUUCCGAAGAAUCCAGAGCUGCAAUUUCAAUGGGAAAAAUUCUGUGACUCCCAGAAACAGAUAAAUUUAAAAACAGCACGGAUUUGCUCUCGCCAUUUUGAAAAAAAGUAUUAUUUCAAACGUCCCAUUGAUAUAGCCUUAGGUUUAUCGUGUCCCGUUUUCUUCCGAAACUUAUCUGAAGAUGCUGUGCCUACCUUAAAUGGCCCUCCAAAAGAAGGAGAAGAGAAUGAAAGGACUGAAGAUGAAAAUUCUAUCGCUAGCAUCGACAAUCCAGAAGUGUACCCUGAAAGUUCAGAUUCCACCACUGAACCUCCAAGGUACAUCUUCAGCGGUGAAGUAGCAGCCCGACUGCUAGAAUCAGCAGCUGAAACAAAAGCUGAUUUUACAGGAGCCCGAAAGACUGAGCCAUUGGCUUUACCACCACCCGUCAAAAAAAUAAGGAAAGUGCGACCCAAAAGUCCCAAUCCAAAAAAGG
This 971-nucleotide long non-coding RNA is filed under the name Bemisia tabaci. RNAcentral describes it as "lncRNA ENSSSA1NGG011439". Lineage: Eukaryota; Metazoa; Arthropoda; Insecta; Hemiptera; Aleyrodidae. The record is from RNAcentral.